RNAcentral lists this transfer RNA (79 nucleotides) under Gammaproteobacteria bacterium. Its description in RNAcentral is "tRNA-Ile". It matches the Rfam family "tRNA". Rfam says of the family: Transfer RNA (tRNA) molecules are approximately 80 nucleotides in length. Their secondary structure includes four short double-helical elements and three loops (D, anti-codon, and T loops). Further hydrogen bonds mediate the characteristic L-shaped molecular structure. tRNAs have two regions of fundamental functional importance: the anti-codon, which is responsible for specific mRNA codon recognition, and the 3' end, to which the tRNAs corresponding amino acid is attached (by aminoacyl-tRNA synthetases). tRNAs cope with the degeneracy of the genetic code in two manners: having more than one tRNA (with a specific anti-codon) for a particular amino acid; and 'wobble' base-pairing, i.e. permitting non-standard base-pairing at the 3rd anti-codon position. The record is from RNAcentral. Lineage: Bacteria; Pseudomonadati; Pseudomonadota; Gammaproteobacteria.
UCCCCAGUAGCUCAGCCAGGUGUAGAGCGACCGUCUUAUAUGCGGUUGGUCGCUGGUUCAAAUCCAGCCUGGGGGACCA